CAGUCGCCGCGGUAAUACGUAGGGCGCGAGCGUUAAUCGGAAUUACUGGGCGUAAAGCGUGCGCAGGCGGUUCGUUAAGACAGAUGUGAAAUCCCCGGGCUUAACCUGGGAACUGCAUUUGUGACUGGCGAGCUAGAGUAUGGCAGAGGGGGGUAGAAUUCCACGUGUAGCAGUGGAAUGCGUAGAGAUGUGGAGGAAUACCGAUGGCGAAGGCAGCCCCCUGGGCCAAUACUGACGCUCAUGCACGAAAGCGUGGGGAGCAAACAGGAUUAGAGACCCCCGUAGUCCCUGUCUCUUAUAC
This 301-nucleotide ribosomal RNA is filed under the name uncultured bacterium. Its description in RNAcentral is "partial 16S ribosomal RNA". It matches the Rfam family "Bacterial small subunit ribosomal RNA", at positions 509 to 807 of the family's 1533-position model. The record is from RNAcentral.